Molecule: ribosomal RNA, 443 nt
Filed under: uncultured bacterium
Lineage: Bacteria
Description: partial 16S ribosomal RNA
Rfam family: Bacterial small subunit ribosomal RNA
Source: RNAcentral
UAGGGAAUCUUCGGCAAUGGACGAAAGUCUGACCGAGCAACGCCGCGUGAGUGAAGAAGGUUUUCGGAUCGUAAAACUCUGUUGGUAGAGAAGAACGUUGGUGAGAGUGGAAAGCUCAUCAAGUGACGGUAACUACCCAGAAAGGGACGGCUAACUACGUGCCAGCAGCCGCGGUAAUACGUAGGUCCCGAGCGUUGUCCGGAUUUAUUGGGCGUAAAGCGAGCGCAGGUGGUUUAUUAAGUCUGGUGUAAAAGGCAGUGGCUCAACCAUUGUAUGCAUUGGAAACUGGUAGACUUGAGUGCAGGAGAGGAGAGUGGAAUUCCAUGUGUAGCGGUGAAAUGCGUAGAUAUAUGGAGGAACACCGGUGGCGAAAGCGGCUCUCUGGCCUGUAACUGACACUGAGGCUCGAAAGCGUGGGGAGCAAACAGGAUUAGAUACCCUGG